Sesamum indicum (sesame) is the source of this 526-nucleotide non-coding RNA. NCBI's taxonomy places the organism in Eukaryota, Viridiplantae, Streptophyta, Magnoliopsida, Lamiales, Pedaliaceae. The record is from RefSeq and is a predicted model, not a curated record.
CCUUCCCCCUAUUUGAGAGCACAUGGAGAUCGGAUCGAUACCCCCCAGAUUUUUUACCACCUCGACCUCGAUCCUGUAUUUGAGAUUCUACAGGGUUCUAGUACAUUCCCUCGAUCUAAUCCUGCUAUUAAGUAGGUGGAUCCCAAUCUUAUUGAGGUCGGGGCCCCUCCUCCAGACGAUAAUCCCGAGGUUCUCCUGGAUAUGCAUAAUCUCAAGGUUAUCAGCCCUUCGGUUCUUAUCUACUCCAACCUUAAAAGCCAUCCCUCUCAAAAUUAGGCCGAAGUUUCACAAUCCUCUUGAGUUCGAGGUUAUCAUCCCACAACUCAUAACAUGCUACAUGUAUCUCCUUAGAGGUGCAGGGCAUUUUAUGUAUCCAUGCUAGAAGGAGGCAUUAGAUUUUUGUUCCCCGAGCUCAAGGGCUUAUUUUUUGAAUGAUCUUGAUAUUUGUCCUGUCUAAUUGUCUCCCGACAAAAUUCACUAUAUUAUUAUUUUUGUCAUAAUAAUGAGAAUUUUAAACUCAAUCUUA